GGACUGGCUCAGGGGUAGAGCACCUGCCUGGCAUGCAGGAGCUCCCAGGUUCAAUCCCUGGCAUCUCCA
This is a non-coding RNA of Elgaria multicarinata webbii, 69 nucleotides long. Lineage: Eukaryota; Metazoa; Chordata; Lepidosauria; Squamata; Anguidae. The record is from the annotation of a RefSeq genome assembly.